Molecule: long non-coding RNA, 629 nt
Organism: Silurus meridionalis
Lineage: Eukaryota; Metazoa; Chordata; Actinopteri; Siluriformes; Siluridae
Exons: 2
Source: RefSeq, a predicted model, not a curated record
UCAUCCACUGCCUCAGAUGUGGGAGUGAAAAUGCUGCUCUUUAUUAUCUUUUAUUCAUGUAUGAAAUAAAAAACAGUAGCGCUAAUAAUGAACACCUAGAUUAUGAAAAUAAAAUGUUUCAGCUGCUAAAUUUAUUUCACUAAAAAACCUUUUAUAAAGUACUUCAGGGCAAAGCAGAAAUAUUGGUUGACUGGGAAUCUUCGUAUAGGAAGAUGGUGUAUAUGGACUGUAUCUGCAGCUAUCGCUCCUUCAUACAGAGGAGUUGGCAGAGAGGACACGCGAUUCCCGACUCUUUUGUUUGUUUUCUGUAUUCACAGUAAUCUGGCUGUCAGGUCUCCAGAGUUGGAACUCGCAACACAGACACUAUGUUUUUUUAACUUUAAACGGGAUCAUUUUUAUUCAACUUUCUCUCCUCAGCCAUCAUGUUCUUGAGAACCACUGCCAGCAUUUGCAACCGUGUGCAGUGUUGUGUCAUCUCAGAAUCAACAACAGUAAUAUGUGUACAUGAGACAAUCUUGCAUAACAGCAUGGCACUGUUUUGUAACUACAAGCACAUACUUUUAUGAAUCAAAUUGGUACACAAGGAAACUGAAAAAAUGCCCAUAAACUAAAUAAACAGUACAACAUUC